UCGAUGUUUUUCAAACUUGGCAACUUCAAGAUGGCUAGGCUGACUGGGAAAUUCUGGGAGUUGAACUCCACCCAUCUUAAAGUUGCCAAGUUUAAAAAACACCGAAACAAAUGGAGACAAAAGGGAACCUUAGCAAAUACUACAGAAUGAUAUAGCUGUUACCUGCCCUGCUGUUCAAACUGUAGUUUCUUUUAGGACAAGGAAUACUCUUCUGGACCAUUCUCCAGCAUCCAUUGCUCUCAACUAUUGGAAUUAGUGGCUAGAAGUUGAUGGGAUUUCUACUCCAUACCAAUUGAAAGAAUACACCUUGGGCCUGUGUAAGGCAUAGAAGAAUUGGAAAAGAAACAGAGAUGGGUAGUUGCCACAACUGCUUUAUUUGUGCUUUAUCAAAGAAAAAAAGACAACAGUAAAUUGGGUUCUUAGAAGGCCCAAGAUGUAGCAGGGAGAACUAAUUGAUCUUCAGCUUAUCCGUGGAAAUGCUGUCACCUAGUGGCAAAUAUCCUUUUAAAAAGAAGUGACGUAGUAUUGGGAAAGCUGCUCUAAAAUUCAGUAAAUGCUGAUGAAUAAAGGAUGUAAUUCCAUUCUGUCUAAGCUGGAGGAUGUUCUUGAAAUUUACCCUCUUCCUGAUCCCACAAUAGUAAAUGGAAAGAUAAUUAAGUUAUUGUUGAUUCUUUGUUGUUGUUAGUUGUGAAGUUGUGUCCGACCCAUCACGACCCCAUGGACAACGUUGCUCCAGGCC
Crotalus tigris (Tiger rattlesnake) is the source of this 739-nucleotide long non-coding RNA. RefSeq lists it as uncharacterized. Lineage: Eukaryota; Metazoa; Chordata; Lepidosauria; Squamata; Viperidae. The record is from RefSeq and is a predicted model, not a curated record. The transcript is spliced from 4 exons.